AUGAACGCUGGCGGCGUGCCUAAUCCAUGCAAGUCGCGCGAACAGACGAGGAGCUUGCUCCUCUGACGUUAGCGGCGGACGGGUGAGUAACACGUGGAUAACCUACCUAUAAGACUGGGAUAACUUCGGGAAACCGGAGCUAAUACCGGAUAAUAUAUUGAACCGCAUGGUUCAAUAGUGAAAGACGGUUUUGCUGUCACUUAUAGAUGGAUCCGCGCCGCAUUAGCUAGUUGGUAAGGUAACGGCUUACCAAGGCAACGAUGCGUAGCCGACCUGAGAGGGUGAUCGGCCACACUGGAACUGAGACACGGUCCAGACUCCUACGGGAGGCAGCAGUAGGGAAUCUUCCGCAAUGGGCGAAAGCUUGACGGAGCAACGCCGCGUGAGUGAUGAAGGUCUUCGGAUCGUAAAACUCUGUUAUUAGGGAAGAACAAAUGUGUAAGUAACUAUGCACGUCUUGACGGUACCUAAUCAGAAAGCCACGGCUAACUACGUG
RNAcentral lists this ribosomal RNA (496 nucleotides) under uncultured bacterium. RNAcentral describes it as "partial 16S ribosomal RNA". It matches the Rfam family "Bacterial small subunit ribosomal RNA", at positions 29 to 507 of the family's 1533-position model. The record is from RNAcentral.